GAUUUGACGAUCUUUCUUAAUUGCAGAAAAUUAUCAACUUUAAUGAUGAUUAAAAAAAGAGAUAAUAAUAUCGUCGGGAAAGAAGUUAUUAAGUUCCACGAGUCAGCGAAUGCAACGUGCUCCCAUUGGAAUAUUAAAAUGAUCCGCCAUUAGUUUAAUAAACCUGUCUUCUUUGUUCCCUUCGUCCAAGAGCCUUUUCCAUGCUCCUCGAAGACUUUCGUCGCAGCAGUCGCAGAUGUCACUGUACCCCUAAUGAGCACGCUAUUUUUCACCAGUAUUUUUAUCCCGUUUAUUGGCUGCCCGUUUCACAAACUGUCAGCCGGAUAUUAAUCAUCCUACUAUUACGACUCUGCCUUUAUUUCUUCUAAGGAUAAAGAAUGAAAGGACCGUCGGAGUAGAGGGGAUGGAAGAUGAACGUUGAAACACAAUAAAUUCGGCUGGACUGAAGUUAAUACAGGGUUUCAUAGGAAAGAAUAACGGAACCAAGGAAGAAGCCCAAAAGCCAUGUUCUUCGCGCAACACACUACACUGCUUGAUCGUCAUUUUCGGUUGAAGAUCGACUAGCAGUAACGAAGACAACUAUCGAAUACGGUGUAGAUUUUGCGAAUAAUUCCUAAAAGCACUGGCAUAAUGAGAAAGAUACGAAACGUGCAAAGAAAAUGAGUUUUCAUAUGAAACGUGAAAGUAGAGUGCAAUUAAAAAUGUACAUACGGUUUGGAGAUAGCUGGAAACUUAAUUAAGUAUGAAUUAUUAAAAAUAAAAGAGCUACAAUGUAAAGGGUGGAUCAAUUAUAUUUCGUAUAAUGCUUUGUAUACAUUUCCACAUUUCUAUACCAUGAAGAAAUUGUUACCUUUUAUUUAUUUUUCUAAGUAAGUGCAUUGUAUUAUAAACUGGUUCUCAUUGAAUGUUAUCAGUAUCUAGUGACAAAUGAUACAACUGUUAUUUCGAAACUGCGUUAUCGACCUAUAGUACGAGUCUUUACAUCAAGUUACAAGGAAAGGUAUAAUCGUUGACUAAGUACAGUAAAUUUAAGAAGUUAUACGAUAAUCUUGAGAAUGAAAUCUAAUUCUAUAGUAAUUCACGCACUUAACUAUCUGUAUUAAAACAUAAAUAAUCUGAAUUAGAACGUAAUAUAUGUAUUAGAACAGAAUAUAUAACACAUUUAACUUAAUUCUAACAUAAAUAAUUUAUUUUUACAACAUAAUUAUUGUAUAAGCAUUUCUUUUAAACUAUUAUAAAUUAGUAGCCGUAUUUCUUACAAGUCAUGAACUGCUAUCUACUACGCAGUGAACGAACUGAAACUUCAAGAGUUUUCGGAUAGAUGGCAGCACAUGGCCUGUCAGUAAACAAGGAACGCAUUUGUGUCGGACAAGGACAGACAUAUAUUUUGUUAGAGGAAGAGAGCAAUAUUGUGCGAUAAGGACAGAUAUACGAGCGGUGUUUGAAUUGGUCGGCAAGGAAGAAGCGAGGGAGAGGGGGAAAAUUAUAAAUUGCUGUUAAACUAUUUCGAUUUAUUAAAACUAAUCAAUACAAAAAAAGAAUAAUUUGUUUUUCAUAUUUAAUUGUACUUUUAAGCAAUCGAAACAAUACGAUUGAAAAUGGUUCCAUAUAAGUACACGGAGUCUAUGCAUGUAAACCAUCUUUAACUUUAUUAAAUCUGAUUAAAUUGUACUAUAGUAGGGGAGAAAUAAAAUUUGCACGUUUGAUACAAUACAAUACAAAUACAAUAUAAAUAUAAAUAUAAUGCAAUAAAAUAUAAUACGAAAAAU
Long non-coding RNA from Bombus pyrosoma, 1769 nucleotides. RefSeq lists it as uncharacterized. The record is from RefSeq and is a predicted model, not a curated record. NCBI's taxonomy places the organism in Eukaryota, Metazoa, Arthropoda, Insecta, Hymenoptera, Apidae. The transcript is spliced from 4 exons.